Molecule: small RNA, 144 nt
Filed under: Muricomes intestini
Lineage: Bacteria; Bacillati; Bacillota; Clostridia; Lachnospirales; Lachnospiraceae
Description: Clostridiales-1 RNA
Source: RNAcentral
UGAUACCAGGGUCAAAAGGCCAUGCGUUUCAUGCUUGCAUGGAAAAGCAUGGCCUUUUGACCCUGGUAUCAUCAUAAUAUUAUACGAAAGGAAACAGGAAACGUGACCUAUAAAGAAGCAAGGGUAUAUUUGGACGAAGUGUCG